AACGAACGCUGGCGGCAUGCCUAACACAUGCAAGUCGAACGAGAUCUUCGGGUCUAGUGGCGCACGGGUGCGUAACGCGUGGGAAUCUGCCCUUUGGUUCGGAAUAACAGUUGGAAACGACUGCUAAUACCGGAUGAUGACGAAAGUCCAAAGAUUUAUCGCCAGAGGAUGAGCCCGCGUAGGAUUAGCUAGUUGGUGUGGUAAAGGCGCACCAAGGCGACGAUCCUUAGCUGGUCUGAGAGGAUGAUCAGCCACACUGGGACUGAGACACGGCCCAGACUCCUACGGGAGGCAGCAGUGGGGAAUAUUGGACAAUGGGCGAAAGCCUGAUCCAGCAAUGCCGCGUGAGUGAUGAAGGCCUUAGGGUUGCAAAGCUCUUUUACCCGGGAAGAUAAUGACUGUACCGGGAGAAUAAGCCCCGGCUAACUCCGUGCCAGCCGCCGCGGUAA
Molecule: ribosomal RNA, 449 nt
Filed under: uncultured bacterium
Lineage: Bacteria
Description: partial 16S ribosomal RNA
Rfam family: Bacterial small subunit ribosomal RNA
Source: RNAcentral